This 342-nucleotide ribosomal RNA is filed under the name uncultured eukaryote. RNAcentral's name for it is "SSU rRNA". It matches the Rfam family "Eukaryotic small subunit ribosomal RNA", at positions 594 to 945 of the family's 1831-position model. The record is from RNAcentral.
AUAGCGUAUAUUAAAGUUGUUGCAGUUAAAAAGCUCGUAGUUGGAUUUCUGGGAGGGUGCCAAUGUCCGCUCGUUCGCGUGUGCAGCGGCGCCCUUCCAUCCUUCUGUUAACGUUUCUUGGUAUUCAGUUACUGGUUUCGGGCUCAGAUAUUUUACCUUGAGAAAAUUAGAGUGUUUCAGGCAGGCUUGCGCCGGAAUACAUUAGCAUGGAAUAAUAGAAUAGGACUUUAGUCUCCUUUGUUGGUUUGAGGGACUGAAGUAAUGAUUAAUAGGGAUAGUUGGGGGCAUUAGUAUUUAAUUGUCAGAGGUGAAAUUCUCGGAUUUGUUAAAGACUAACUUAUG